Molecule: long non-coding RNA, 309 nt
Organism: Alosa sapidissima (American shad)
Lineage: Eukaryota; Metazoa; Chordata; Actinopteri; Clupeiformes; Clupeidae
Exons: 2
Source: RefSeq, a predicted model, not a curated record
UGUGUGUGUGUGUGUGUGUGUGUGUGUGUGUGUGGUAGAGAGAGAGAGAGAGUGUGUGUGUGUACCUGAGCAUAUCACUGGGCAUGUUAAGUGUCUCUCAGUUCACGUUGUUGUUUGUUUGUUAUGCAUAUAAUAUUUUGUGUGUUUCUCUCUCUCCCUCUGUGUGUGUGUGUGUUUGUCAGCUUGUUUAGUAUGCUUCUGUUUUUCCAUGAGUCAUGUUUUGUGUCAUUAGCACGAGCUAGCUAAUGCUAAUUUAAUGAACAGGGCAAAACAUUUAAAACCAUGCAACUCCACGCUACAUGCAAACAA